GGAAAGGUUGUCAUAGGCAGGGCGAGGUAUUUGCUAAAUAUUGUGUUUAACACCUGGUGGUUCGAAUCCUCCCUUUUCCG
This 80-nucleotide transfer RNA is filed under the name Periconia digitata. RNAcentral's name for it is "tRNA-Ser". It matches the Rfam family "tRNA". Rfam says of the family: Transfer RNA (tRNA) molecules are approximately 80 nucleotides in length. Their secondary structure includes four short double-helical elements and three loops (D, anti-codon, and T loops). Further hydrogen bonds mediate the characteristic L-shaped molecular structure. tRNAs have two regions of fundamental functional importance: the anti-codon, which is responsible for specific mRNA codon recognition, and the 3' end, to which the tRNAs corresponding amino acid is attached (by aminoacyl-tRNA synthetases). tRNAs cope with the degeneracy of the genetic code in two manners: having more than one tRNA (with a specific anti-codon) for a particular amino acid; and 'wobble' base-pairing, i.e. permitting non-standard base-pairing at the 3rd anti-codon position. Lineage: Eukaryota; Fungi; Ascomycota; Dothideomycetes; Pleosporales; Periconiaceae. The record is from RNAcentral.